RNAcentral lists this ribosomal RNA (702 nucleotides) under uncultured bacterium. RNAcentral's name for it is "bacterial SSU rRNA". It matches the Rfam family "Bacterial small subunit ribosomal RNA", at positions 8 to 701 of the family's 1533-position model. The record is from RNAcentral.
AGAGUUUGAUCAUGGCUCAGAUUGAACGCUGGCGGAAUGCUUUACACAUGCAAGUCGAACGGCAGCACGGAGAGCUUGCUCUCUGGUGGCGAGUGGCGAACGGGUGAGUAAUAUAUCGGAACGUAUCCAAUAAUGGGGGAUAACUAGCCGAAAGGUUAGCUAAUACCGCAUACGCCCUGAGGGGGAAAGCUGGGGAUCUUCGGACCUGGCGUUAAUGGAGCGGCCGAUAUCUGAUUAGCUAGUUGGUGGGGUAAAAGCCUACCAAGGCGACGAUCAGUAGCUGGUCUGAGAGGACGACCAGCCACACUGGAACUGAGACACGGUCCAGACUCCUACGGGAGGCAGCAGUGGGGAAUUUUGGACAAUGGGCGCAAGCCUGAUCCAGCCAUUCCGCGUGAGUGAAGAAGGCCUUCGGGUUGUAAAGCUCUUUCGCAAGGGAAGAAAACUUACUCAAUAACACUGGGUGAGGCUGACGGUACCUUGAUAAGAAGCACCGGCUAACUACGUGCCAGCAGCCGCGGUAAUACGUAGGGUGCGAGCGUUAAUCGGAAUUACUGGGCGUAAAGCGUGCGCAGGCGGUUUUGUAAGUCAGAUGUGAAAUCCCCGGGCUCAACCUGGGAACUGCGUUUGAAACUACAAGGCUAGAGUAUGGGAGAGGGAGGUAGAAUUCCACGUGUAGCAGUGAAAUGCGUAGAGAUGUGG